This is a long non-coding RNA of Galendromus occidentalis (western predatory mite), 449 nucleotides long. RefSeq lists it as uncharacterized. The transcript is spliced from 2 exons. The record is from RefSeq and is a predicted model, not a curated record. NCBI's taxonomy places the organism in Eukaryota, Metazoa, Arthropoda, Arachnida, Mesostigmata, Phytoseiidae.
GAAUCCGGGAGGAGUGGAUAGAUCCUGACCGAGAGACGGAGCAUCGAAGACGCAGUCCCGUUCGCCACUCAGCACCGCAGACACCAUGAAGACGAGUUCUGUACUUUUGGCGAUUUUUCUGCCGAUCCUCUUGAUCUCGCAGAGUGUCGCCUAUUAUCUUGGUCACAUGUGCGUGCCCGUCGACCCGAUGUAUUGCGCGGCGAGCGGUGGUCGCCUCGUUUGGGAAGGACCCUGCCAGACAUGCCUGUACAAUUCGGAUUGCCCGCCGCUGGCUUGCCGUCCCGAAUGCUACGAAGACUUGAAUGUUCCAUGGGCUCCGUUGGGUGCGUGCCCACAUUGCGUAUGCUGAAAGAGAAGGAUUUGAACAUGGAUGAGGAGAAAACCGAUCGGACAUCAGCGAGCCCCACUUGUGAAUCGAGGCGUAUAAAUAGAAAUAAACUUUGUAAGCA